Molecule: microRNA precursor, 93 nt
Filed under: Canis lupus familiaris (dog)
Lineage: Eukaryota; Metazoa; Chordata; Mammalia; Carnivora; Canidae
Description: mir-8799 microRNA precursor family
Rfam family: mir-8799 microRNA precursor family
Source: Rfam by way of RNAcentral
GCGGGGAGGCCGGAUCCUGGGCUGUGUCCCGGCGCCCUGUGCCUCCGGCCUGCGGCCUGCGCUGCUGGAUUCGCUCCCGCCCAGCAGCCCCCU